This 428-nucleotide ribosomal RNA is filed under the name uncultured prokaryote. RNAcentral's name for it is "bacterial SSU rRNA". It matches the Rfam family "Bacterial small subunit ribosomal RNA", at positions 355 to 774 of the family's 1533-position model. The record is from RNAcentral.
UGGGGAAUCUUCCGCAAUGGGCGAAAGCCUGACGGAGCAACGCCGCGUGAAUGAAGAAGGCCUUCGGGUCGUAAAGUUCUGUCUUUAGGGAAGAACCGUAUACUUGUAAAUAAUGAGUAUACCUGACGGUACCUAAGGAGGAAGCUCCGGCUAACUACGUGCCAGCAGCCGCGGUAAUACGUUGGGAGCAAGCGUUGUCCGGAAUUACUGGGCGGAAAGGGCGCGUAGGCGGGAAUUUAAGGUAGAUGUGAAAGCACCGGGCUCAACCUGGUGACUGCAUUUAAAACUGGGUUUCUUGAGGGCAGGAGAGGAAAGUGGAAUUCCUAGUGUAGCGGUGAAAUGCGUAGAUAUUAGGAGGAACAUCAGUGGCGAAGGCGACUUUCUGGACUGUACCUGACGUUGAUGCGCGAAAGCGUGGGGAGCAAACG